GCGGAUUUAGCUCAGCGGCAGAGCGGCGCGUUAACGACGCAGGACCAUGUUCGACUCAUGGAAUCCGCACCA
Molecule: transfer RNA, 72 nt
Filed under: Nitrobacter sp.
Lineage: Bacteria; Pseudomonadati; Pseudomonadota; Alphaproteobacteria; Hyphomicrobiales; Nitrobacteraceae
Also listed under: 1 other name
Description: tRNA-OTHER
Rfam family: tRNA
About the family: Transfer RNA (tRNA) molecules are approximately 80 nucleotides in length. Their secondary structure includes four short double-helical elements and three loops (D, anti-codon, and T loops).
Source: RNAcentral